AUUUAUAUGAAAACCUGCACACCCUUCUUCCUCAUGUAAUCCUUCUUUUCUUAACUGUAUUUUUUCUAAAGGACGUAAAUAAGGACUGUCCCAACAAAACCAUUCAUCAUAUCUGUGGUUCCACCGUUUGAAAUGGAUAAGUACUUUUCCUUCCUCAUAAUCAAUUUCUUCAAUGUGAGCUGGAUACCAGUUUUUUAAUCUGUCACGGGCUUCCAACUGGGCUCCCACCUCAAAGUUGAUCCCUCUUCUAUUCGGAGGAUGUUUUGUCAUUUUGUAAUAUCAACACUGCUGAUUUUAUUCCCCCAAUUCACCCCCUACAACAUGCUUGCCCCCAUCAGGGAUGGUCAGUGCAGAGAAGUCC
This 361-nucleotide long non-coding RNA is filed under the name Gallus gallus (chicken). Lineage: Eukaryota; Metazoa; Chordata; Aves; Galliformes; Phasianidae. The record is from RNAcentral.